CUGGCUCAGAACGAACGCUGGCGGCAGGUCUUAGGCAUGCAAGUCGAACGGAUGACAAGGGAGCUUGCUUCCUUGAAGUCAGUGGCGCACGAGUGAGUAACGCGUGGGAAACUGCCCUUCACUGGGGAAUAACGUUUGGAAACGAACGCUAAUACCGCAUACGCCCGCAAGGGGAAAGAUUUAUCGGUGAUGGAUGUGCCCGCGUUGGAUUAGCUAGUUGGUGGGGUAAUGGCCUACCAAGGCGAUGAUCCAUAGCUGGUCUGAGAGGACGAUCAGCCACGCUGGAACUGAGACACGGUCCAGACUCCUACGGGAGGCAGCAGCUAAGAAUAUUGGGCAAUGGAGGAAACUCUGACCCAGCCAAUGCCGCGUGAAUGAAGAAGGCCUUCGGGUUGUAAAGUUCUUUUAGUCAUGAAGAUGAUGACAGUAGUGACAGAAAAAGCACCGGCUAACUUCGUGCCAGCAGCAGC
Molecule: ribosomal RNA, 470 nt
Filed under: uncultured bacterium
Lineage: Bacteria
Description: bacterial SSU rRNA
Rfam family: Bacterial small subunit ribosomal RNA
Source: RNAcentral